GAAGCGCAUACGGUGGAUGCCUUGGCAGUCAGAGGCGAUGAAAGACGUGGUAGCCUGCGAAAAGCUUUGGGGAGUCGGCAAACAGACUGUGAUCCAGAGAUCUCUGAAUGGGGGAACCCAGCCAGCACAAGCUGGUUAUCUUGUACUGAAUACAUAGGUGCAAGAGGCGAACCAGGGGAACUGAAACAUCUAAGUACCCUGAGGAAAAGAAAUCAACCGAGAUUCCCUUAGUAGUGGCGAGCGAACGGGGACCAGCCCUUAAGUUGGUUUGAGAUUAGUGGAACGCUCUGGAAAGUGCGGCCAUAGUGGGUGAUAGCCCCGUACACGAAAAUCUCUUAUCAAUGAAAUCGAGUAGGACGGAGCACGAGAAACUUUGUCUGAAUAUGGGGGGACCAUCCUCCAAGGCUAAAUACUACUGACUGACCGAUAGUGAACUAGUACCGUGAGGGAAAGGCGAAAAGAACCCCGGAGAGGGGAGUGAAAUAGAUCCUGAAACCGUAUGCGUACAAGCAGUGGGAGCCUACUUGUUAGGUGACUGCGUACCUUUUGUAUAAUGGGUCAGCGACUUAUAUUCAGUGGCGAGCUUAACCGAAUAGGGGAGGCGUAGCGAAAGCGAGUCUUAAUAGGGCGU
Molecule: ribosomal RNA, 631 nt
Filed under: Filamoeba nolandi
Lineage: Eukaryota; Evosea; Variosea
Description: partial Bacterial large subunit ribosomal RNA
Rfam family: Bacterial large subunit ribosomal RNA
Source: RNAcentral